Molecule: ribosomal RNA, 253 nt
Filed under: uncultured bacterium
Lineage: Bacteria
Description: partial 16S ribosomal RNA
Rfam family: Bacterial small subunit ribosomal RNA
Source: RNAcentral
UACAGAGGGGGCGAGCGUUGUUCGGAAUUACUGGGCGUAAAGGGCGCGUAGGCGGCCCGCUAAGUCGAACGUGAAAUCCCCGAGCUCAACUCGGGAACUGCGUCCGAUACUGGCGGGCUUGAAUCCGGGAGAGGGAUGCGGAAUUCCAGGUGUAGCGGUGAAAUGCGUAGAUAUCUGGAGGAACACCGGUGGCGAAGGCGGCAUCCUGGACCGGCAUUGACGCUGAGGCGCGAAAGCUAGGGGAGCAAACGGG